GGGGAAGUAGAGUAGUUUAUAUUAGGAGAAAAUAAAUUAUUUGAAGGACUAGGGAUGAAGUUACUGGGCAUGAAACUGCCGUCUAUAUUAAAAUUCCUGCUGGUUUGUAACCCAGGGCUUAGGUCAUGAAAGAAACUUAGAGGAUUUGGAUCAGACGACAUUAAUGGAGAAAAAAAGUUUGGGGGUAUAGGUGGAAGAGAACUCGGACCAGGUGAUAAUAUGCCGGGAAAUAGCCCUGUAAUUCUAUCAAUAUCAGCAGUUAGAUCUGAGCCAUCAACCAUUUGUUGAACAUGACCAUUUUGUUGUAAAUUUCUUUUACCUUCCGGGGACUUUAUUUUCUCUAUGGAAGCAUAACGAGCUGCUGGAGAAAUUGCACCGCUAUCUGGAAAGAAUGAAUGAGACGAAGAAUGCACAGGAGACGACGAGGAAGUAGUGGAAGAAUUAGGUCCUGUGAGACGUUGAACUAGUUGCAUGAACUCAUUAGGGUUUGCAUGAAUAAUCUUCGGAGAAACUGUGUAUAUGAUCACCGGAGGGCGGUGUACUGGAGGCGGCUGCUGAUGCUGCUGUUGUGGAACAGGAGGAGGUUUUCUGAUCUUAUGAGAGUCUUUUCGCACUUUUAAAGGCGUCGGACGGGGGCCUUGGAGCUCCCGUCGGGGCGACUUUCCGUGACCGGAGAAGUCCAUGUUGUGGUGGACAGAGUCAAUGAUGGGGAGAAAAGUAUAAGCAGAAAUGAGAGGGACAGAGGGAGUAUACAAAAUAUUUUAUUACAAGGCAAUCAUUCAGACACAGGCUAGCUGAUUUACUACAAAUUAAUCAUAUGAAAAACAACAAAUGAAUGAAACAAACAAGAAAAAACAAGCUAUCAUAUAUUUUACUAGUAUCAUUUUACAUUACAUAAGAACAUUACAUCAAAAAUUUCUGUAUAAUCAAAAUAUAGACUACCAAUUAGUAAAUGAAGCAAUAAUCAUAACCUCACCAACUUUCUGUGCUUACUAAAUAUACUGGAAAACCUAAAUUCAAUCUUCUUCCGUUUCAGCGCUGCUGCAGAUAAAUAGAAGCAGUUUCUUGUGAUCAGGUCUGCGUAUAUCUGAAACUUCUCCGUAUAUCUGGUAUAACAGUUCAGCAUAAGAUUUUUGCUAUAAUUAGGGGUUAGAAGUCGAAGAAAUUAUUGAAAAGAUCUACAGAGGGGGAAGUAGAGUAGUUUAUAUUAGGAGAAAAUAAAUUAUUUGAAGGACUAGGGAUGAAGUUACUGGGCAUGAAACUGCCGUCUAUAUUAAAAUUCCUGCUGGUUUGUAACCCAGGGCUUAGGUCAUGAAAGAAACUUAGAGGAUUUGGAUCAGACGACAUUAAUGGAGAAAAAAAGUUUGGGGGUAUAGGUGGAAGAGAACUCGGACCAGGUGAUAAUAUGCCGGGAAAUAGCCCUGUAAUUCUAUCAAUAUCAGCAGUUAGAUCUGAGCCAUCAACCAUUUGUUGAACAUGACCAUUUUGUUGUAAAUUUCUUUUACCUUCCGGGGACUUUAUUUUCUCUAUGGAAGCAUAACGAGCUGCUGGAGAAAUUGCACCGCUAUCUGGAAAGAAUGAAUGAGACGAAGAAUGCACAGGAGACGACGAGGAAGUAGUGGAAGAAUUAGGUCCUGUGAGACGUUGAACUAGUUGCAUGAACUCAUUAGGGUUUGCAUGAAUAAUCUUCGGAGAAACUGUGUAUAUGAUCACCGGAGGGCGGUGUACUGGAGGCGGCUGCUGAUGCUGCUGUUGUGGAACAGGAGGAGGUUUUCUGAUCUUAUGAGAGUCUUUUCGCACUUUUAAAGGCGUCGGACGGGGGCCUUGGAGCUCCCGUCGGGGCGACUUUCCGUGACCGGAGAAGUCCAUGUUGUGGUGGACAGAGUCAAUGAUGGGGAGAAAAGUAUAAGCAGAC
This 1915-nucleotide long non-coding RNA is filed under the name Daucus carota (carrot). RNAcentral describes it as "long non-coding RNA (DCAR_LNC002984)". The record is from RNAcentral. Lineage: Eukaryota; Viridiplantae; Streptophyta; Magnoliopsida; Apiales; Apiaceae.